This 91-nucleotide transfer RNA is filed under the name Cephalotrichum gorgonifer. Its description in RNAcentral is "transfer RNA-Val(AAC)". Lineage: Eukaryota; Fungi; Ascomycota; Sordariomycetes; Microascales; Microascaceae. The record is from RNAcentral.
GGUUCGGUGGUGUAGUUGGUUAUCACGCUUGUCUAACAUCCAAAAAGGUGCUGGACACAAGAGGUCCCCGGAUCGAGCCCGGGCCGAAUCA